This 253-nucleotide ribosomal RNA is filed under the name uncultured bacterium. Its description in RNAcentral is "partial 16S ribosomal RNA". It matches the Rfam family "Bacterial small subunit ribosomal RNA", at positions 524 to 776 of the family's 1533-position model. The record is from RNAcentral.
GACGAACCGUACGAACGUUAUUCGGAAUCACUGGCCUUAAAGGGUGCGUAGGCGGCGCGGAAAGUUGGGUGUGAAAUCCCUCGGCUUAACCGAGGAACCGCGCCCAAAACUACCGUGCUCGAGGGAGAUAGAGGUGAGCGGAACUUAGGGUGGAGCGGUGAAAUGCGUUGAUAUCCUAAGGAACACCAGUUGUGAAAGUUGCACAAUGGAUCUCUUCUGACGCUGAGUCACGGAAGCUAGGGUAGCGAACGGG